RNAcentral lists this ribosomal RNA (459 nucleotides) under uncultured bacterium. RNAcentral's name for it is "partial 16S ribosomal RNA". It matches the Rfam family "Bacterial small subunit ribosomal RNA", at positions 338 to 795 of the family's 1533-position model. The record is from RNAcentral.
CCUACGGGAGGCAGCAGUGAGGAAUAUUGGUCAAUGGCCGGAAGGCUGAACCAGCCAAGCCGCGUGAGGGAGGAAGGCGCAGAGCGUCGUAAACCUCUUUUGCCGGGGGACAAAAGGCCGGACUCGUCCGUUCCUGAGGGUACCCGGAGAAAAAGCAUCGGCUAACUCCGUGCCAGCAGCCGCGGUAAUACGGAGGAUGCGAGCGUUAUCCGGAUUUAUUGGGUUUAAAGGGUGCGUAGGCGGAAUGUCAAGUCAGCGGUAAAAUGGCGGGGCUCAACCCCGUCGUGCCGUUGAAACUGACGUUCGUGAGUGGGCGAGAAGUAUGCGGAAUGCGUGGUGUAGCGGUGAAAUGCAUAGAUAUCACGCAGAACUCCGAGUGCGAAGGCAGCAUACCGGCGCCCAACUGACGCUGAAGCACGAAAGCGUGGGUAUCGAACAGGAUUAGAUACCCCAGUAGUC